Molecule: long non-coding RNA, 813 nt
Filed under: Cricetulus griseus (Chinese hamster)
Lineage: Eukaryota; Metazoa; Chordata; Mammalia; Rodentia; Cricetidae
Description: lncRNA (ENSCGRG00015004005.2)
Source: RNAcentral
CGGCUUUUCACCCAGAGGUUGCAUCCUGGCAGCCUUGCAGGUCACAUUCCUUCUGCAGACAUGUUUAGUUGGAUCCACUAGAAUUUCCAAACAUUCUGAGUCAUUAUUUAAAAAAAACCUAGACUUGAGUUUCUAGAUUCUGUUCCAAAACUCGGAAUAUCAGACCUGCACCUGCACCCCACGUGGUGCUCGCUGUGGGAAGCCCCUAGCAGCCUGGGAGAAGGAUCUACACAUCUGCAGAUAGCAUCAGACAGGAAAUGGGUGUGAGCACCAGUAGGCACAAUGCCUGCCCUCCCCACCUUUACCUCCAUAACCAGAACCAUGGAAUCUUUAUGUCUAAUAUCUACUUAUGAAGCCAUUUUCUCUGUUGCACCCGGAGAGCUGAGGUCUACAUGCAAGGGAGAAGAAGCAUGGUCCUCAGGCAGUGGAUCUGCUAGUGCUCUGGGCAUCCAGAAUGUGGGAGCAGCUACAGAGAGCCCAUCAGAGGACCCUGGAAGGUUCAGGGACUUAUGCACAACCUCUGACCAAAUGCAAGCUAAACAAAAUUGCUCUGUCCCAGAGUAAACCUAGGGCAACUCAAGGAAGCCAGGUGCAAAGAGUCACUCUUGGUUGCCUGGGAACACCUUUUCAUGAAGGACAACCAGGAGCUGUUAAUCCUGGCAGAAGACAGGGAAUGACCACAAACUCACACACCACGUAGGCAGGAUCUAGGCUAUACUCAAGGGCCCUGUGUUAAAUAGAAAAUGGAAUUGGCUGAGAGUGUAUGCUAUUUGGAGCUGGCAGUAGUCCUGCAAUCCUAGCUACUCAGUGGGC